GACGAACGCUGGCGGCGUGCUUAACACAUGCAAGUCGAACGAAGAGCGAUGGAAGCUUGCUUCUAUCAAUCUUAGUGGCGAACGGGUGAGUAACGCGUAAUCAACCUGCCCUUCAGAGGGGGACAACAGUUGGAAACGACUGCUAAUACCGCAUACGAUCUAAUCUCGGCAUCGAGGAUAGAUGAAAGGUGGCCUCUACAUGUAAGCUAUCACUGAAGGAGGGGAUUGCGUCUGAUUAGCUAGUUGGAGGGGUGACGGCCCAACAAGGCGAUGAUCAGUAGCCGGUCUGAGAGGAUGAACGGCCACAUUGGGACUGACACACGGCCCAGACUCCUACGGGAGGCAGCAGUGGGGAAUCUUCCGCAAUGGACGAAAGUCUGACGGAGCAACGCCGCGUGAGUGAUGAAGGCCUUCGGGUUGUAAAGCUCUGUUAAUCGGGACGAAAGGCCUUCUUGCGAAUAGUGAGAAGGAUUGACGGUACCGGAAUAGAAAGCCACGGCUAACUACGUG
Molecule: ribosomal RNA, 510 nt
Filed under: uncultured bacterium
Lineage: Bacteria
Description: partial 16S ribosomal RNA
Rfam family: Bacterial small subunit ribosomal RNA
Source: RNAcentral